RNAcentral lists this long non-coding RNA (893 nucleotides) under Zonotrichia albicollis (white-throated sparrow). RNAcentral's name for it is "lncRNA (ENSZALG00000000004.1)". The record is from RNAcentral. Lineage: Eukaryota; Metazoa; Chordata; Aves; Passeriformes; Passerellidae.
GAAAAAGGCUGCCUGGCAGCUGACUCCUCUGGGAAUCCCUGCUAAAAUGAAAUGUAUAUUUCAUUAGAUCUUCCCAGGGUACAAAAUUUUAAGUAAACAUACAUUUUAAAUGAGUAAGCAAUGUCUAAUGGGAAACUGUGUAUGGAGCUUUACUUUUAGAUAUAUAUACUCCUCUUUCAGAUUGGGGAAUUACACACAUAACCACGAAUAGAGAAUAUGCUAGUUAAUUCUUAAUAUCCCUCUAAACACUCCUUUGCAAGCUAAAUCAGUAAACACUAUAGCAAGGAUGUUCUCUGCAUAAGGCUCAAUUUCACUGAAGUCAAGUCGAAGUUCUGUCAUAGGAGAGUGUUUUAUUGACAUAUAAAAUCUGCAAUGGAUCUGGCUGGGUAUUCCCAGAGACUUUAUUUUAAUUGGAAUUCCCUGCAGUGGCAUGAAGAUCAAACGUUUCCUGAAGUGUGGUAGAAGGCAGGAAGAAUGACACUUGCUAAUUUGAAUUUCAGAAAGCACCUAAACUUCAUUCUGAUCUCCAGACUUCAUCACCCACAAAUUUUCAGAUGCCCAUCAUUAAAAAACUCCCUUGAUUUCUCUGGAAGCCAAACAGAAGAUCAGAGUUUUUCCCAUGUGGAGCAAUUUCUGGACUGCUGCUUCUUCUGGAAUCCAUAGCCCUUUCUGUGAACAGUUAAUGAGCUGAGACACCAGAGAAGAGUGAGUUUGUGUUCUAAAUGAUGGCUCUGAUUUGCAUGCAAGAGCAUUUAAAUGAAAAAUACUGAUGAAAGCACACAUAUUUUCCACUGAAAGCUUCUUUAUUUUAUAUUCAUGCUUCAGAGAACAUAACUCUCACUAUGGAAUAUUUGCAUAAUGUGAAUGCUGGAAUGUGUGCAAAAUGUGAAUAC